This 253-nucleotide ribosomal RNA is filed under the name uncultured bacterium. RNAcentral's name for it is "partial 16S ribosomal RNA". It matches the Rfam family "Bacterial small subunit ribosomal RNA", at positions 524 to 776 of the family's 1533-position model. The record is from RNAcentral.
UACGUAGGGUGCGAGCGUUGUCCGGAAUUAUUGGGCGUAAAGGGCUCGUAGGCGGUUUGUCGCGUCGGGAGUGAAAACUCAGGGCUUAACCCUGAGCCUGCUUCCGAUACGGGCAGACUAGAGGUAUGCAGGGGAGAACGGAAUUCCUGGUGUAGCGGUGAAAUGCGCAGAUAUCAGGAGGAACACCGGUGGCGAAGGCGGUUCUCUGGGCAACAACUGACGCUGAGGAGCGAAAGCGUGGGGAGCGAACAGG